CUAAUUGCAACCCUCACUUUCACUCCAAGAAACACAGAAAGAAUGGGAAAACUGAAUGUUAUUCACAGAAGAAUGUCUGUACAGAUAGAACACAAAGGCAUAACCCUCUUCAACAGGUAAGUACCCGUUAACAACCAAACAAUCAACCCCCCUCAGUAUCUGCCUUCUAUUUAUUUAUACACCCCAACCCAACUGUUCUAACUGAUAAAACAGUUAAACGGUUACAGUUAGUUCCCCCUAAUCAGUUCCCCUUCUUUCUUCUGUCAUAAACCAACCAUCUCCUAUUAUCCCUAUCAAUACCCGCUCCUUGAACUCCAACCUUAUCCCCAAGGUUGAAAUCGGGAUACUGUUCCCGUAUCGUGAUUUCAUUCUCCUAGGUAGCCCUUUCUUGUCCUCCUUCUUGCCACUCAACUAGUAGUUGUAGUACACUUUCCCCUCCUUCCUGCAGCUGCCUUCUUCCCAAAAUGUUUACGGGCCAGAAUGAAGGUCCUUCGGCCUGCAGGUCCUGUGGUAAGUCCCUCUCCACCCUUUUUUCUCCUAUCGCCUUCUUCACUUGUGAAACAUGGAAGAAGACAGGAUGAAUUCUAGCUGUCUCCGGUAGCUGUAACUUACAUGCAUUCUUUCCCACCUUCUGAACCACCAGAAACGGUCCAAAGUAUCUAGUUGCUAGCUUUGGAUGGAGCCUGGUUGGCAUUGAUGUUUGUCUAUGAGGCUGUAUCUUCAGGUACACCCAAUCCCCCACUUCCACGUUCACAGCCUUUCUCCUUUUAUUAGCUUGCCUUACCAUAAGAUCCUGUGCCCUUUCCAGAUGAAACUUUAAUUGUUUCAGGGCUUCAUCCCUGGUUAGGAGCUCUUGACUCACUGCCUCCACCAAAGAUUCUCCAUGAAUGAACCUAUGCAAAGAGGGAGGCGCCCUCCCAUACACGGCUUCAAAUGGGGUGCACCUUAUUGCUCCUUGGUAGCUCGUGUUGUACCAAUUUUCGGCCCAUGACAACACGGUCAUCCACCCCUUUGCUGCUCCGAACAGAAUCACCUAAGAUACCCCUCCAAAACACGAUUUAGCACCUCCGUUUGACUGUCCGUCUUAGGGUGGUAGGCGGUACUCAUCUUUAGCUGCGUACCCUGCCCUUUAAACAGUUCCUUCCAAAAUAUACUCAGGAACAACGGAUCCUGGUCAGAUACUAUAGAUUGUGGUAUCCCAUGCAACCUCACAAUUUCUCUUAUGAAAAUUUCAGCCACUAUUUUCGCUAAAUAUGGGUGCUUGAGUGGUAAGAAGUGUGCGUAUUUGCUCAAGCGAUCCACCACCACCAAUACUGCGUCAUACCCCUGGGACUUAGGCAAGCGAACUAUAAAAUCCAUACUCAACUCCUCCCAUAUGGCAUUCGGCACUGGCAAGGGCUGUAGUAAUCCUUGACGAGAAGAUGUUAAGUACUUGUGUUGUUGGCACACCAGACACUUAGCCACAAACUCCGUUACAUCCUUCUUCAUCCCGGCCCAGUACAAUGAUUGUGCGAUACGCUUGUAAGUCCUGUACACUCCCGAGUGGCCCCCCGUUUGUGUCACAUGAAAUUCGGCUAACAACUUUGGAAUCCAUUUGGACUUAGCCGACAACACCAAUCUGCCUUUGUGGUGGAGCCUUUCAUGUUCUAAAGUGUAAGCGGGAUGGGUGUUGGGAUCUCUCCUUACGUCGUUCAUCACCUUCUGCAAAAACUCAUUCACCUCUACUUCCUGCAUUAUUUCUCCAACAUCUUGCCAAAAAGGCCGUGCUACUACACUCAGCUCCUUCUCCCCUUCAUCUUCUCCUUCAAACUGCCUUGAAAGAGCAUCUGCAGCCUUAUUCGCAGUUCCUGUCAUAAACAAUUUCAAAGUCGUAUCCCAAAAGCUUAGCUAUCCAGUCCUGCUGGUUUUGGGUGGUGAUACGCUGUUCCAGCAGAUGAUGAAGACUCUUCUGGUCCGUAUGAACUACAAAACGCUGCCCCACAAGAUAAGGCCUCCAAUGUUGUAACGCUAACACCAAAGCCAUCAUCUCCUUCUCGUAGAUGGACUUGCUCAACUUUCCUUCGGACAACGCCUUGCUGAAGUAGGCUAUCGGGUUUCUUCCUUGCAUCAACACGACCCCCACGCCACUUCCCGACGCAUCACAUUCUAUGUGGAAAGGUUGUGUGAAGUCGGGCAAAGAUAAUACUGGCACUGUCGUCAUCUUUCUCUUCAAAUGCACCCACGCCUCCUCGGCCUUUUCAUUCCACGAGAAUCCCCCUUUCUUCAUCAAUUCCGUCAAGGGUCUGGCGAUCUUGCCAUAAUCCCGGACGAACCUCCGAUAGUACCUCGUUAACCCUAGAAAUCCCCUCAAACUUUUCACUGUUUUCGGACGCUCCCAUUCCACCACUGCCUUGAUCUUUUCGUCGUCCAUCUCUACCCCUCUACUGGAGACGAUGUGCCCCAAGUACUUAACUUGGGUCUGCCCAAAUUCACAUUUCCCCUUGUUCGCAACCCACUUGUCUCGUUGCAGAAUCGUGAGCACACAUUUAACAUGUUCAAGAUGUUCCUCCCACGUGCGACUGUAUACCAGAAUGUCGUCAAAGAAUACGAGAACAUACCUGCGCAGAUAGGGCUGAAACAAUGCGUUCAUUGCAGUUUGAAAGGUUGUCGGCGCGUUCGUAAGCCCGAAAGGCAUGACGACGAACUCGUAGUGCCCCUGAUGAGUACGAAAUGUUGUUUUCUCCACGUCCCGUUCACUCAUACAGAUUUGAUGAUAACCCGCUUUUAGGUCGACUUUCGAAAAGGAAGACGCCCCCUUCAGCUCGUCCAACAACUCCUCGAUCACCGGAAUUGGAAACUUGUCCGGCACCGUCGCUCGGUUGAGUGCUCGGUAGUCGAUGCAAAACCGCCAGUUGUCGUCCUUCUUCUUUACUAAGAUCACUGGACUUGAGUAGGGGCUGUGGCUCGGUCGGAUCACCCCCGUCUGUAGCAUUUUUGCGAUUUGGUGCUUUAUCUCAGCUUUGAUGGCAUGCGGAUACUGGUAUGGCAGGACAUUAACUGGAUCGACCCCCUCUUUAAGUUAUAUGUGGUGUUCGACCUCUCGGUUAGGUGGCAGUGUCUUUGCUUCAGAGAACACCACGUCAUAAUUCUCCAGAAGACUCUCCAUCUCUCUUUUCUGUUUUUCAGUGAGGCCCACGUUCUUCAGUUUAUUUUGUUGGGCCUCCAUUGAGCCCAAAUCCCAAACCACAUAACAAGUCUCAGUUCGAUCCAUUUUCAUGAGCGCCCUGGGGCCCAACACUCUGCGUUCCAACGUGGGGUCACCCCUCACCGUCACCUCUCUUCCUCCCUCCUUAUACAUCAUCUUCAACUUUCCCCAGCCCACCAUUACUUCUCCCAGCCUCUGCAACCACUCCACCCCCAGAAUUAUUUCAACUCCCCCAAGUUCAAACAAGUAAAAUCUUUCAAUCAGCUGAGCUUCCCCAAGCUCCAACUUUACUCCCUCACAACACCCGCUAAUUCUUUUCUUUUGACCGUCUCUAAGACUCACCAUAUAAGGUUGCGUCUUGGUCACCUUCAUCCGCAGUUCCUCCACCACCCGCCGAUCAAUGAAGUUGUGGCUCGCGCCACUAUCAAUUAAAACUAACACCUCUCUGUGCCCGAUGUGGCCUCGUAACUUCAUUGUUUUGGGUGUCGUCAGCCCGCCGGCGGACAGUGCCUCGCAAGGUUCGUCUCCGUCACCUCGUCGCCUUCGGUCUCUUCCUCUUCCUCUACCACAAUUAGCAUUUUGAGACCCCUCUCUGGACAACGAUGGCCGGGGCCGAAGGGUCUGCCGCACCUGAAACAACGAACCUCUUCCCUCCGUUUAAGAUACUCCGAGUAAGGUAGGUUGCGAACAUUCCGAUCACCUCCGCUACCGGUAGCCACCCCCUUAUUCCGCCCUUGGGUCCUAUCUUCAUUAACCAACCCAACGCUUUCCGUCGUUCCCCCUCGUACCGUUGACUCUUGAUUCGGUUCAACUCGCGUCACCGAACCUGACGCCUUGCCCCAAGAAUUUUGAUUCUUGGAUACCCACCCUCCUCCGGUCUUCGUGCACAAUUUCUCCACAUCCCUCGCCACUCGCAUGGUCGUCAUCAAAUCCGGUGGGGCAUGUGGCCGGACAUGAUCGCCCACCUCCUCCCUUAGUCCGGACAGGAAAUACCCCAUGAUCUGCUCCUCUGGUAUCUGGGUCGUCUGACCCACCAAAACUUCAAAAUCACGUAUGUACUCCUCCACCGGUCCUGACUGUCGUAUGGUUGACAGCCUCUCGUACACUGCCCUCAUGUUCCUCCUCCAAAUCGGAUACCUAGAGCCCUCUUCAACCCAUCCCAAGAAAGGUUCUUGGUUUUCUCUUGCCAGAAUCGGAACCAGCUUCCGGCGUAGCCAUCCAUACUGAUAAAGGCCAGUUCCAAUUUCUCCUCCUCCGCCACCUUCUGUACUUCGAAAAACUUUUCUGCUCUGCCUAUCCAAACCCAAGGUUCGCCCCCCUCAAAGACUGGUAAUUCGACUCGCUUCCUCCAUUGUAUCAAACGCCCUCGGUUAUCGCCUCCACCUCUUCCACCUUCACUGUUGGGGCCACCGACGACUCACUCUCCCCCUAUCGCUUCCCGUGGUGAUUGUGGUUACGUUCUUCAAGCGCCUUCAAGAUUGCUUGGACGUCCUGUCGUAUCGCCGUCGUCUCCUGUCGCAACACCCCCGUCUCCUUUCGCAACGCCCCCGUAUCAGCUUUCGUCUCGGCGAUUGCCACUUCGACCGCCUCUAAGUGCCCUUCUACUACCACCAUUCUUCCCUCCAUUUCCACGCGUGAAACACUCUGAUUGGGGAUCCGGCAGGUCGGACCAAAUGAUAGGUUCCUGAAUUGGGAACCUAAUUGCAACCCUCACUUUCACUCCAAGAAACACAGAAAGAAUGGGAAAACUGAAUGUUAUUAACAGAAGAAUGUCUGUACAGAUAGAACACAGAGGCAUAACCCUCUUCAACAGGUAAGUACCCGUUAACAACUAAACAAUCAACCCCCUCAGUAUCUGCCUUCUAUUUAUUUAUACACCCCAACCCAACUGUUCUAACUGAUAAAACAGUUAAACGGUUACAGUUAAUUCCCCCUAAUCAGUUCCCCUUCUUUCUUCUCUCAUAAACCAACCAUCUCCUAUUAUCCCUAUCAAUUAACCUGAACUGUGAAUGAUAUAGGAUAUCCACCGAAUGGAUUGCGGAUAAAUACUACCAAAUAGUCGGUGGGUCCCAAGCGGUCGGUGUGGUUUGUGGUUAAAGACCACCGAACAUUUAUAGAUAUAGAUUUGUCUCUGUAAUCUAGUUUUCUGCUAUAUAAACCAUCACAUACUGUAAAAUAGGGCAUAAGUGAAUACAAUCAGAAUUUUCCUAAUCUCUCACCUCAAUUCUCUUGUGUUCGAAAUUCUUUCUUCUUACUGGAUUCCCUACUCCUCUCCUCUGGUUCUGUUCGAGACUGUGUCUUCCUAAAGAACCAUAACAAUUGGUAUCAGAAGGUAACCUUCCACCCAUGUCAUUCCAAUGGCUGCCAACACCC
Molecule: long non-coding RNA, 5557 nt
Filed under: Vigna radiata
Lineage: Eukaryota; Viridiplantae; Streptophyta; Magnoliopsida; Fabales; Fabaceae
Description: long non-coding RNA (VRAD_LNC014387)
Source: RNAcentral